CCUACGGGUGGCUGCAGUGGGGGAUAUUGCACAAUGGGGGAAACCCUGAUGCAGCGACGCCGCGUGUGGGAAGACGGUCCUCUGGAUUGUAAACCACUGUCCCCAGGGACGAAAAUGACGGUACCUGGGGAGGAAGCUCCGGCUAACUACGUGCCAGCAGCCGCGGUAAUACGUAGGGAGCGAGCGUUGUCCGGAAGUACUGGGUGUCAAGGGAGCGUAGGCGGGGAUGCAAGUUGGGUGUCAAAACUACCGGCUCAACUGGUAGUCGCACGCAAAACUGCAGCUGUUGAGUGAAGUAGAGGCAGGCGGAAUUCCGAGUGUAGCGGUGAAAGGCGGAGAUAUUAGGAGGAACACCAGUGGCGAAGGCGGCCUGCUGGGCUUUUACUGACGCUGAGGCUCGAAAGUGUGGGGAGCAAACAGGAUUAGAUACCCUUGUAGUC
This 440-nucleotide ribosomal RNA is filed under the name uncultured bacterium. Its description in RNAcentral is "partial 16S ribosomal RNA". It matches the Rfam family "Bacterial small subunit ribosomal RNA", at positions 338 to 795 of the family's 1533-position model. The record is from RNAcentral.